CUUGGUCAUUUAGAGGAAGUAAAAGUCGUAACAAGGUCUCCGUUGGUGAACCAGCGGAGGGAUCAUUACUGAGUACUACACUCUCUACCCUUUGUGAACUAUUAUACCUGUUGCUUCGGCGGCGCCCGCGAGGGUGCCCGCCGGUCUCAUCAGGAUCUCUGUUUUCGAACCCGACGAUACUUCUGAGUGUUCUUAGCGAACUGUCAAAACUUUUAACAACGGAUCUCUUGGCUCCAGCAUCGAUGAAGAACGCAGCGAAACGCGAUAUGUAAUGUGAAUUGCAGAAUUCAGUGAAUCAUCGAAUCUUUGAACGCACAUGGCGCCUUCCAGUAUCCUGGGAGGCAUGCCUGUCCGAGCGUCGUUUCAACCCUCGAGCCCCCGUGGCCCGGCGUUGGGGAUCUGCCACGGCAGGCCCCUAAAACCAGUGGCGGACCCGAAGGCCCUCUCCUUUGCGCAGUAGCAUCAGCCUCGCAUUGGGAUCCCUCGGCGUCCUGCCUCUAAACCCCCCACAAGUCCGCUCCGGCGGCACCAAGGUUGACCUCGGAUCAGGUAGGAAUACCCGCUGAACUUAAGCAUAUCAAUAAGCGGAGGAAAAGAAACCAACAGGGAUUGCCUCAGUAACGGCGAGUGAAGCGGCAACAGCUCAAAUUUGAAAUCUGGCUCCUUCGGGGCCCGAGUUGUAAUUUGCAGAGGAUGCGUCGGGUACGGGUGCCUUCCGAGUUCCCUGGAACGGGACGCCAUAGAGGGUGAGAGCCCCGUCUGGUAGGACACCCAGCCCGUGUGACGCUCCCUCGACGAGUCGAGUUGUUUGGGA
RNAcentral lists this small RNA (814 nucleotides) under uncultured Plectosphaerella. RNAcentral's name for it is "eukaryotic LSU rRNA". The stretch from base 536 to 814 matches the Rfam family "Eukaryotic large subunit ribosomal RNA", at positions 1 to 279 of the family's 3401-position model. The record is from RNAcentral. Lineage: Eukaryota; Fungi; Ascomycota; Sordariomycetes; Glomerellales; Plectosphaerellaceae.